RNAcentral lists this ribosomal RNA (441 nucleotides) under uncultured bacterium. RNAcentral's name for it is "partial 16S ribosomal RNA". It matches the Rfam family "Bacterial small subunit ribosomal RNA", at positions 338 to 795 of the family's 1533-position model. The record is from RNAcentral.
CCUACGGGAGGCAGCAGUGGGGAAUAUUGCACAAUGGGGGAAACCCUGAUGCAGCAACGCCGCGUGAAGGAAGACGGUUUUCGGAGUGUAAACUUCUGUUCUUAGUGAAGAAUAAUGACGGUAGCUAAGGAGCAAGCCACGGCUAACUACGUGCCAGCAGCCGCGGUACUACGUCGGUGGCAAGCGUUAUCCGGAAGUACUGGGUGUAAAGGGAGCGCAGGCGGGAAGGCAAGUCAGCUGUGAAAACUACGGGCUUAACUUGUAGACUGCAGUUGAAACUGGUUUUCUUGCGUGAAGGAGAGGUUGGCGGAAUUCGGAGUGUAGCGGUGAAAUGCGUAGAUAUUCGGAGGAACACCGGUGGCGAAGGCGGCCAACUGGGCUUUAACUGACGCUGAGGCUCGAAAGUGUGGGGAGCAAACAGGAUUAGAUACCCUGGUAGUC